GUGGUAGCUUAGCGGUACAGCGGUUGCCUUGCAUGCGGGAGGCACUGGGUUCGAUCCUCAGCAAUACA
RNAcentral lists this transfer RNA (68 nucleotides) under Marmota monax (woodchuck). Its description in RNAcentral is "tRNA.Ala". Lineage: Eukaryota; Metazoa; Chordata; Mammalia; Rodentia; Sciuridae. The record is from RNAcentral.